This 446-nucleotide ribosomal RNA is filed under the name uncultured bacterium. RNAcentral describes it as "bacterial SSU rRNA". It matches the Rfam family "Bacterial small subunit ribosomal RNA", at positions 354 to 796 of the family's 1533-position model. The record is from RNAcentral.
GUGAGGAAUUUUGGACAAUGGGGGAAACCCUGAUCCAGCGACGCCGCGUGAAGGAUGAAGGUCUUCGGAUUGUAAACUUCUUUUAUUCGGGAAUAAGAAAUCUAUGGAAACAUAGGGAGUGAAUGUACCGAAUGAAUAAGCCACGGCUAACUUCGUGCCAGCAGCCGCGGUAAUACGAAGGUGGCAAGCGUUACUCGGAAUUACUAGGCGUAAAGGGCAGGUAGGUGGUUUGAUAAGUCUGUUGUGAAAGCUCCCGGCUUAACUGGGAGAGGUCAACAGAAACUAUCAGGCUUGAGUAUGGGAGAGGGUACUGGAAUUCCCGGUGUAGCGGUGAAAUGCGCAGAGAUCGGGAGGAACACCUAUGGCGAAAGCAGGUACCUGGACCAUUACUGACACUCAGCUGCGAAAGCUAGGGGAGCAAACAGGAUUAGAUACCCGGGUAGUCC